Molecule: ribosomal RNA, 440 nt
Filed under: uncultured bacterium
Lineage: Bacteria
Description: partial 16S ribosomal RNA
Rfam family: Bacterial small subunit ribosomal RNA
Source: RNAcentral
CCUACGGCGGGCAGCAGUGGGGAAUAUUGCACAAUGGGGGAAACCCUGAUGCAGCGACGCCGCGUGAGUGAAGCAGUAUUUCGGUAUGUACAGCUCUAUCAGCAGGGAAGAAAAUGACGGUACCUGAUUAAUAAGCCCCGGCUAACUACGUGCCAGCAGCCGCGGUAAUCCGUAGGGGGCAAGCGUUAUCCGGAUUUACUGGGUGGAAAGGGAGCGUAGACGGCAGCACAAGUCUGGAGGGAAAUGCCGGGGCUUAACCCCGGAACGGCUUUGGAAACUGUGCAGCUAGAGUGCAGGAGAGGUAAGUGGAAUUCCUAGGGUAGCGGUGAAAUGCGGAGAGAUUAGGAGGAACACCAGUGGCGAAGGCGGCUUACUGGACUGUAACUGACGUUGAGGCUCGAAAGCGUGGGGAGCAAACAGGAUUAGAUACCCCAGUAGUC